Molecule: non-coding RNA, 269 nt
Organism: Ictidomys tridecemlineatus (thirteen-lined ground squirrel)
Lineage: Eukaryota; Metazoa; Chordata; Mammalia; Rodentia; Sciuridae
Source: RefSeq, a predicted model, not a curated record
AGCAUAUGACAGGACCUGAGGUGUUAUUCAGAAAGAAAAAAUAAGCCUUGCCAUAUACUAGGCAAACGUUCCACCACUGAGCUACACACUCAACUCCAAAAGAACCAUCUGAAGUGAGGAGGCAACUGAUAUCAAGAAUGAACCCAUCCCGCUCUCUCUGACCAAUCCAACCGAGGAAAGGGAGCCUUUCCCUUAAAAAGAACUCACAGGUGAAGUUGAUUUCUCACCUUGGACCAAUGGCAGAAGUAUAAAAACAUGGAUCAUCACAA